This 501-nucleotide ribosomal RNA is filed under the name uncultured bacterium. RNAcentral's name for it is "partial 16S ribosomal RNA". It matches the Rfam family "Bacterial small subunit ribosomal RNA", at positions 30 to 523 of the family's 1533-position model. The record is from RNAcentral.
AUUGAACGCUGGCGGCAGGCUUAACACAUGCAAGUCGAGCGGAGAGAGGUAGCUUGCUACUGAUCUUAGCGGCGGAUGGGUGAGUAAUGCUUAGGAAUCUGCCUAUUAGUGGGGGACAACAUUUCGAAAGGAAUGCUAAUACCGCAUACGUCCUACGGGAGAAAGCAGGGGAUCUUCGGACCUUGCGCUAAUAGAUGAGCCUAAGUCGGAUUAGCUAGUUGGUGGCGUAAAGGCCUACCAAGGCGACGAUCUGUAGCGGGUCUGAGAGGAUGAUCCGCCACACUGGGACUGAGACACGGCCCAGACUCCUACGGGAGGCAGCAGUGGGGAAUAUUGGACAAUGGGCGGAAGUCUGAUCCAGCCAUGCCGCGUGUGUGAAGAAGGCCUUAUGGUUGUAAAGCACUUUAAGCGAGGAGGAGGCUACUUUAGUUAAUACCUAGAGAUAGUGGACGUUACUCGCAGAAUAAGCACCGGCUAACUCUGUGCCAGCCGCCGCAGUAA